CUUGCUGGUUUUUAGAAACAGGCAAAUGAAGUGGGGUUUUGAGAGGGAAGUAGAGGAGAAUUUGGCUUAUGGAAAAUGGGAUCAAGGAAGACUAUCAAUUAGCUGAUGAAGGUGUUAUUCAGGCACAAUUGGCUGGAGAAUUGUUCCUUAAGGAGUUUUGUUGGGAAUAUUAUUUGCAAGGAAGAAUUGUGCAGGCGUUAGCAUUAUGCAUGUUAGGUAGAAAUAUUACUCAAGAAUUAUGCAAGAAUGGAAUGCAUGAGAAUAUGGAUGGUAAUUUGAUUUAUGGCCUUGCUUUGUUGGAAGCAUUUGUGGACGAUAUAGAGAACAAAAGCCAAAGAUUUCUAGGAUGCUGCUGCAGAGAUAAUUGACGCAUGAGAGAGUUUGAGGAGAGAAUCGGAGAAGCCAAAAUAAAAGUUGCUGGAUAUAGUUACAGAGGAUGGUUUGACAAAAGUUUCUGAAUAAAUAAGGAAAAGGCAGAGUAAAAGACUCAACCAUUUGGCAAUGAGAGUGUAGCCUUUGUGAAGGGAGCUGGCACUUGGCAGCAUAAGGGCAUAUCAUUUUAUGUUUGGUAUCAAACUUCUUAUUUUAUGCUUUUCUGAAUUCAUUUUGCCUGUGAUAUUAAGGUUGGCAGUACAAACAAGGAGACAGCUACAAUUUCUAAGGGCUUGAAAGAAUUCUUAUCCCAUAGUAAUUGGCGUUCUUAAUCUACUGUUGCUGAUUUUUCCCUCCCUUGGCAAAUUUAAGAAUCUGGCUAACUGUAUAGUUUGUGCAGGAAUUGAAAGAGAGCAACAUACCACAUUAAAGUGUUCGCAUCUGCUACUCUCCAUCUGCAAGAACAAGUCACACUGCCAAAAUUGGUGCAUCUGUUUUGAAUCUCCCAUUUUAAGGCUCGCAAUGUAAAGUGAGCUGUCUAAAUCAUAUAACAUUCUUGUUUUUUAGGGCAUCUACUCACCUGCUGCACUUGUAGUGCUUGAAAAGUUUUCACAUUCUCCUUAAUGUGAAGUGAGUUGUCUAAAAAUUGUGGUUGUAAGUAUGAGUUAAGGUCAAUGAGUUUUUUCUCCC
This is a long non-coding RNA of Populus euphratica (Euphrates poplar), 1062 nucleotides long. RefSeq lists it as uncharacterized. The transcript has 3 exons. The record is from RefSeq and is a predicted model, not a curated record. Lineage: Eukaryota; Viridiplantae; Streptophyta; Magnoliopsida; Malpighiales; Salicaceae.